RNAcentral lists this ribosomal RNA (254 nucleotides) under uncultured bacterium. RNAcentral's name for it is "partial 16S ribosomal RNA". It matches the Rfam family "Bacterial small subunit ribosomal RNA", at positions 524 to 776 of the family's 1533-position model. The record is from RNAcentral.
UACGUAGGGUGCAAGCGUUGUCCGGAAUUAUUGGGCGUAAAGAGCUCGUAGGCGGUCUGUCGCGUCGGACGUGAAAAUCCAGGGCUCAACCCUGGACCUGCGUUCGAUACGGGCAGACUAGAGUUCGGUAGGGGAGAUUGGAAUUCCUGGUGUAGCGGUGAAAUGCGCAGAUAUCAGGAGGAACACCGGUGGCGAAGGCGGCUUCCUGGACCGAUUACUGACGCUGAGGCGCGAAAGCUAGGGGAGCAAACGGG